GGAGCGGGCUGGACGGUCGCUGGCGGGGUUUCCCGCUGGAGGAAGGUCCGGACUCCACAGGGCAGGGUGCUGGUCAACGGCCAGGCGCAGCAAGUCGAAAGACCCAAGGCGACGGAAAGUGGCACAGAGAACAGACCGCCGAAGGUGAAUCCUGAGGGCGCCCGGCCGGUGAAUUCCGGCCGGAGUCCACGGGGCUCGCCAGGCAAGGGUGAAACGGUGAGGUAAGAGCUCACCGCGUACGUGGCGACACGGACGGCACGCCAAACCCCACCCGGAGCAACACCGCAUAGGCACGCGUUCCGGCCGCAAGGCCGGGCAGGGCGGCCCGCCCGAGCGUGCGGGUUGGUGGCUAGAGCGCAGGGGCAACCCUGCGCCCAGAGGAAUGACCGUCGGACCGGGCGACCGGUCGACAGAAUCCGGCCUACAGGCCCGCUCCGACU
Molecule: RNase P RNA, 440 nt
Filed under: Quisquiliibacterium transsilvanicum
Lineage: Bacteria; Pseudomonadati; Pseudomonadota; Betaproteobacteria; Burkholderiales; Burkholderiaceae
Description: Bacterial RNase P class A
Rfam family: Bacterial RNase P class A
About the family: Ribonuclease P (RNase P) is a ubiquitous endoribonuclease, found in archaea, bacteria and eukarya as well as chloroplasts and mitochondria. Its best characterised activity is the generation of mature 5'-ends of tRNAs by cleaving the 5'-leader elements of precursor-tRNAs.
Source: Rfam by way of RNAcentral